Heterocephalus glaber (naked mole-rat) is the source of this 139-nucleotide small nucleolar RNA. The record is from Ensembl. NCBI's taxonomy places the organism in Eukaryota, Metazoa, Chordata, Mammalia, Rodentia, Bathyergidae.
UGCACUCUGUGGUAUCUACACUCAACAGUGUAUUCCCGCUAGUGGGUUCAAGGGACAGUGCAAUAGAAAUUGAGUAUUUGACAUCAUUGGUUUUCUUGGCUUUGUGCAUGUUAAACUUGGUAUUUCUAUUGAUAUAGUA